Neomonachus schauinslandi (Hawaiian monk seal) is the source of this 478-nucleotide long non-coding RNA. RefSeq lists it as uncharacterized. The record is from RefSeq and is a predicted model, not a curated record. NCBI's taxonomy places the organism in Eukaryota, Metazoa, Chordata, Mammalia, Carnivora, Phocidae. The transcript has 4 exons.
GCAUAGGCUUUGCUUUCUCUUGGCCAGGGACGAGUUGAAAGCAGCUCCUGGCAGCCAAGUGGAUGAAUGGAGUUACACGAUUUCCUGAGACAGACACGUAUGGGCAUGGCAUUGAUCACUCAGAAGUAUAAAUGGAAGUCUCCCCAGCUGGGGAACAGGACCUAACAUUACAGAAAUGAAGUAACAAUGGAAGGAAGGCAGCAAGAACAUCACCAAUCCAGAGUUCCUAAAUGUCACAGGUUACAAAAUCCACACACACAGUUGCCACAGUGAGGGAACACAGUGGACCCUUGGGCCACAUGGGUUUGAACCCUGUAGGUCCGCUUACAGAUUUCAUCUCUUUAAGUCACCUCUACACCCAGUGUGGGAUCCGAACCCAUAACCCCAAGAUCCAGAGUCGCAAGCUCCACCGACUGAGCCAGCCAGGCGCGCUGGGAGGGACACCUGGGUGGCGCAGCUGGUUGAGCAUCCAACUCUU